GAUGAACGCUGGCGGCGUGCCUAAUACAUGCAAGUCGAGCGAACAGAUAAGGAGCUUGCUCCUUUGACGUUAGCGGCGGACGGGUGAGUAACACGUGGAUAACCUACCUAUAAGACUGGGAUAACUUCGGGAAACCGGAGCUAAUACCGGAUAACAUAUUGAACCGCAUGGUUCAAUAGUGAAAGGCGGCUUUGCUGUCACUUAUAGAUGGAUCCGCGCCGUAUUAGCUAGUUGGUAAGGUAACGGCUUACCAAGGCAACGAUACGUAGCCGACCUGAGAGGGUGAUCGGCCACACUGGAACUGAGACACGGUCCAGACUCCUAUGGGAGGCAGCAGUAGGGAAUCUUCCGCAAUGGGCGAAAGCCUGACGGAGCAACGCCGCGUGAGUGAUGAAGGUCUUCGGAUCGUAAAACUCUGUUAUCAGGGAAGAACAAAUGUGUAAGUAACUGUGCACAUCUUGACGGUACCUGAUCAGAAAGCCACGGCUAACUACGUG
Molecule: ribosomal RNA, 497 nt
Filed under: uncultured bacterium
Lineage: Bacteria
Description: partial 16S ribosomal RNA
Rfam family: Bacterial small subunit ribosomal RNA
Source: RNAcentral